AAUGGCUCAGUGGGAUUUUCCACGAUUUCCGUUCCAAUCAGAAGACCGGGGUUCGAGUCCGCAUGGUGGCCAAAACUUUUUUUUUGGUUUUUA
Caenorhabditis elegans is the source of this 93-nucleotide non-coding RNA. Lineage: Eukaryota; Metazoa; Nematoda; Chromadorea; Rhabditida; Rhabditidae. The record is from Ensembl.